Molecule: non-coding RNA, 296 nt
Organism: Caenorhabditis elegans
Lineage: Eukaryota; Metazoa; Nematoda; Chromadorea; Rhabditida; Rhabditidae
Source: Ensembl
UAAAGUACAUAUACAUUAGUCGUAACAACAAGCGUGCUGUUUGCUAAUGAAAUGAGAUGACCCAAAACGAGAAAAAGGAGGUAACGGAAAAUGAAAAGAAGAAGUGAAAUGAAGGAGAAAAAACACAACACGGCGAUUGCGUCGGCGAACUCAAACAAAGUGCGAUUUUGAACGUCGAACACGAGAUCAGAGGAUGGAAAAGGGUGCACUUGACUUUAUCGAUGAAAGAGCACAAAUGAGCCAAUGAAUCAGAUCAAACGAGAUACUUUUCGAGCAGAUUGGAAAAUCACCAGAGU